UCAGGACGAACGCUGGCGGCGUGCCUAACACAUGCUAGUCGAACGGGGUUAUUAUGGAAGUUCUUUCGGGGACGGAAGUAAUAACUUAGUGGCGAACGGGUGAGUAACGCGUGAGAAACCUGCCUCUCAGUGGGGGACAACAGUUGGAAACGACUGCUAAUACCGCAUAACACUUUAGUACCGCAUGGUACAGAAGUCAAAGCUUAAUGUGCUGAGAGAUGGUCUCGCGUCUGAUUAGCUAGAUGGCGGGGUAACGGCCCACCAUGGCGACGAUCAGUAGCCGGUCUGAGAGGAUGAACGGCCACAUUGGGACUGAGACACGGCCCAGACUCCUACGGGAGGCAGCAGUGGGGGAUAUUGCACAAUGGGCGAAAGCCUGAUGCAGCGACGCCGUGUGAGGGAAGGCGGUUUUCGGAUUGUAAACCUCUGUCUUCGGGGACGAAAAUGACGGUACCCGAGGAGGAAGCCACGGCUAACUACGUGCCAGCAGCCGCGGUAAUACGUAGGUGGCAAGCGUUGUCCGGAAUUACUGGGUGUAAAGGGAGAGUAGGCGGGAUUGCAAGUCCGUUGUUAAAUCUAUCGGCUCAACCGGUAGCUGCGGCGGAAACUGUAGUUCUUGAGUGAAGUAGAGGCAGGCGGAAUUCCUAGUGUAGCGGUGAAAUGCGUAGAUAUUAGGAGGAACACCAGUGGCGAAGGCGGCCUGCUGGGCUUUAACUGACGCUGAGGCUCGAAAGUGUGGGGAGCAAACAGGAUUAGAUACCCUGGUAGUCCACACUGUAAACGAUGAUUACUAGGUGUGGGGGGACUGACCCCUUCCGUGCCGGAGUAAACACAAUAAGUAAUCCACCUGGGGAGUACGGCCGCAAGGUUGAAACUCAAAGGAAUUGACGGGGGCCCGCACAAGCAGUGGAUUAUGUGGUUUAAUUCGAAGCAACGCGAAGAACCUUACCAGGUCUUGACAUCGUGCGCAUAGUAUAGAGAUAUAUGAAGUCCUUCGGGACGCAUAGACAGGUGGUGCAUGGUUGUCGUCAGCUCGUGUCGUGAGAUGUCGGGUUAAGUCCCUCAACGAGCGCAACCCUUACGAUUAGUUGCUACGCAAGAGCACUCUAAUAGGACUGCCGUUGACAAAACGGAGGAAGGUGGGGAUGACGUCAAAUCAUCAUGCCCCUUAUGACCUGGGCUACACACGUACUACAAUGGUGAUCAACAGAGGGAAGCAAAGCGGCGACGCAGAGCAAAUCCCUAAAAGUCAUCUCAGUUCGGAUCGCAGGCUGCAACCCGCCUGCGUGAAGUUGGAAUUGCUAGUAAUCGCAGAUCAGGAUGCUGCGGUGAAUA
RNAcentral lists this ribosomal RNA (1335 nucleotides) under uncultured bacterium. RNAcentral describes it as "bacterial SSU rRNA". It matches the Rfam family "Bacterial small subunit ribosomal RNA", at positions 24 to 1368 of the family's 1533-position model. The record is from RNAcentral.